Molecule: non-coding RNA, 112 nt
Filed under: Emiliania huxleyi
Lineage: Eukaryota; Haptophyta; Isochrysidales; Noelaerhabdaceae
Source: RNAcentral
AGACACGCUUCGGAGCGACACACGGAGUAUCUCUCGAGAUCUCGACCCCCCCGCGGGGGGGAUUGGCUCUGAGGAAAGUCCCCGGGCAUUUCGGCAGAGAGUGCCAGCCAUG